UUUCGUAUUUGGCUACGCUUUGUUCUGACGAAGCAGAGCAAUCACUUGCCAGCCAAAGAUCCUCUCCGCAAAUCCCCCGUGUGUCACUCGUCUUUUGUGCAUUAGUGUCUACUGUGACCAUAUGGACAUUUGUUUGACAGGAGUCUGUGACCCUCAAACAGUUUGGGUCUGCUCAGUUACAUGGUGUCUGGCCUGGCUAUUGAAACGAGCAACCAGCAGAACACGGCUUAUGAAAGAGUUGUCUCUGUGGAUGGAGGAUGAACAUUAAUAUUCAUGAGCUGUUACUCAUUUACACUGGUGAGAGCAGAGCCUUUGCACGAGGAGUUGCUCCUUCCAUCUCCUGUGUUACUGUGAUUGUUGUGGUCACCUGAGGUACCCGUGUACCUGCAUACCUCCCCUUCUCCCUUCAACCACAGCUCAGGCACGCGGGGCUGGAGAUGUCUCAGGUGAGCGUCCUUUGCUCUGGAGUGCUUUCGGUUACCGUAUCUCCACAGUAGGAAAUGUCCUGGACCUCUCAAAAAACCUCCAAAACUGACUGCUUGUCCCUAAGUUUUCAAGAGGAGUGAAUACUUUGGCGAUGAGGGAGGAGAUGCUUGCUGGAGCUGGGUAGCAGAAUUUGGAUGGCCUGUGCGAAUGUAACUGCUGGAGAUGUGUGGCUUCCACUCGGGUGGGAGCAGGGGGAUGUAGAUUGGAAGGGUGAAUACUGGCAUGUUAGUUUG
Chroicocephalus ridibundus (black-headed gull) is the source of this 719-nucleotide long non-coding RNA. RefSeq lists it as uncharacterized. The record is from RefSeq and is a predicted model, not a curated record. The transcript is spliced from 3 exons. NCBI's taxonomy places the organism in Eukaryota, Metazoa, Chordata, Aves, Charadriiformes, Laridae.